GGAGGGUACCGUUCAGUGGUAGAGCGCACGCUUAGCAUGCAUGAGGUCCUGGGUACAAUCCCCAGUCCCUCCA
This 73-nucleotide transfer RNA is filed under the name Camelus ferus (Wild Bactrian camel). It matches the Rfam family "tRNA". From Rfam's summary of the family: Transfer RNA (tRNA) molecules are approximately 80 nucleotides in length. The record is from Rfam by way of RNAcentral. Lineage: Eukaryota; Metazoa; Chordata; Mammalia; Artiodactyla; Camelidae.